This 74-nucleotide transfer RNA is filed under the name Nelumbo nucifera (sacred lotus). It matches the Rfam family "tRNA". Rfam says of the family: Transfer RNA (tRNA) molecules are approximately 80 nucleotides in length. Their secondary structure includes four short double-helical elements and three loops (D, anti-codon, and T loops). Further hydrogen bonds mediate the characteristic L-shaped molecular structure. tRNAs have two regions of fundamental functional importance: the anti-codon, which is responsible for specific mRNA codon recognition, and the 3' end, to which the tRNAs corresponding amino acid is attached (by aminoacyl-tRNA synthetases). tRNAs cope with the degeneracy of the genetic code in two manners: having more than one tRNA (with a specific anti-codon) for a particular amino acid; and 'wobble' base-pairing, i.e. permitting non-standard base-pairing at the 3rd anti-codon position. The record is from Rfam by way of RNAcentral. Lineage: Eukaryota; Viridiplantae; Streptophyta; Magnoliopsida; Proteales; Nelumbonaceae.
GGCCUAUUAGCUCAGUUGUUUAGAGCAUCGUGUUAAUAACGUGAAGGUCGCAAGUUCGAGACCUGCAUGGGCCA